This 313-nucleotide long non-coding RNA is filed under the name Lathyrus oleraceus (garden pea). RNAcentral describes it as "Pisum sativum (pea) long non-coding RNA (PSAT_LNC027252)". The record is from RNAcentral. Lineage: Eukaryota; Viridiplantae; Streptophyta; Magnoliopsida; Fabales; Fabaceae.
UUAUGCAAGACAUGCUAAUGAAUAUGUAAAUGCAAUGACAUGUUUAUCAAUUCCAAAGGUAUUCUACCCCCUUGAUUCCAGUAUCUCAAUAGAUAAACGAUGUAAAAAAAAGACUAAGCCGUUGAUGAGAACCAAGAAAAUUCCGACAAGAAUCAAGUAGAAGAUAUAAACCCCACAGAAAUGGAUAAACAUGUGUGAAUGAUUAUGAAUGCAAAAUGAUGUGAAUGCAGUGCAGUGGCAUGGGAAUCAGGAUCGCUGUAUCUGCUUGAACAUCUGUCAGGUUGCACUGUCUGGAGAGAAAUUAAGAGCACAC